Long non-coding RNA from Zingiber officinale, 522 nucleotides. RefSeq lists it as uncharacterized. Lineage: Eukaryota; Viridiplantae; Streptophyta; Magnoliopsida; Zingiberales; Zingiberaceae. The transcript has 3 exons. The record is from RefSeq and is a predicted model, not a curated record.
CCCCAACCGGCAACCGGCUGUCCUCCCUCUGCCGACGCCGACUCCUCCACUGUGCAGUGCCUAGCCGACUCCUCCACUGUGCAGUGCCUAGACGACUCCUUCCUUUGUCCUAGGUUCCCUCUUGUUGCUGGAUCCGAACCCUAACUCCUCUGGGUUGGGUUGUGGUCAGCCUACCCGACUGCAGCUUCUCCGGAUCUUGGCAGUAAGUUCUAUAGGAUUUGAGCAGUGUUGAGGCAUCAGGGAAUAUGGGUAAGGUUGGUGUUAAGUUAAUUACUGUUGAGGUGAGUAUGGGAAGAUGAACUUGAUGAUUUCGAUGGUUUGAGCUAUUGGUAUUACUUUUGUUAUGUAAGCAUAGGGUUAAUUAUAUUAAAUCCUGUGUAGACCUUAUAUGGUGAUUUCCUUUGCAGACAUUGUUGGAGAAAGCCCUAAUCGCUGUGAUCUUCCUUUUGUGUGAUCCAGAGGACCUUGACGCGAGACAAGUUUCUUAACGUCCGGAUUUGGACUGAUUGGAUCUUUCCUAUU